This 350-nucleotide ribosomal RNA is filed under the name Cordyceps farinosa. Its description in RNAcentral is "eukaryotic LSU rRNA". The stretch from base 1 to 126 matches the Rfam family "5.8S ribosomal RNA", at positions 29 to 154 of the family's 154-position model. Lineage: Eukaryota; Fungi; Ascomycota; Sordariomycetes; Hypocreales; Cordycipitaceae. The record is from RNAcentral.
UGCAUCGAUGAAGAACGCAGCGAAAUGCGAUAAGUAAUGUGAAUUGCAGAAUUCAGUGAAUCAUCGAAUCUUUGAACGCACAUUGCGCCCGCCAGCAUUCUGGCGGGCAUGCCUGUUCGAGCGUCAUUUCAACCCUCGACUUCCCUUUGGGGAAAUCGGCGUUGGGGACCGGCCGUAUACCGCCGGCCCCGAAAUGAAGUGGCGGCCCGUCCGCGGCGACCUCUGCGUAGUAAUCCAACUCGCACCGGAACCCCGACGUGGCCACGCCGUAAAACCCCCGACUUCUGAACGUUGACCUCGGAUCAGGUAGGAAUACCCGCUGAACUUAAGCAUAUCAAUAAGCGGAGGAA